UACAGAGGGUGCGAGCGUUGUCCGGAAUCACUGGGCGUAAAGGGCGCGUAGGUGGCGCUCCAAGUCCGUGGUGAAAGCUCGAUGCUCAACAUCGAGUCGGCCACGGAGACUGGAGGGCUCGAGCACUGUAGGGGCAGAUGGAAUUCCGGGUGUAGCGGUGGAAUGCGUAGAGAUCCGGAAGAACACCGGUGGCGAAGGCGGUCUGCUGGGCAGUAGCUGACACUGAUGCGCGACAGCGUGGGGAGCAAACAGG
Molecule: ribosomal RNA, 253 nt
Filed under: uncultured bacterium
Lineage: Bacteria
Description: partial 16S ribosomal RNA
Rfam family: Bacterial small subunit ribosomal RNA
Source: RNAcentral